AUUGAACGCUGGCGGCAUGCUUUACACAUGCAAGUCGAACGGCAGCGCGGGCUUCGGCCUGGCGGCGAGUGGCGAACGGGUGAGUAAUGCAUCGGAACGUGCCCAGUAGUGGGGGAUAGCCCGGCGACAGCCGGAUUAAUACCGCAUACGACCUGAGGGUGAAAGCGGGGGACCGAAAGGCCUCGCGCUAUUGGAGCGGCCGAUGUCGGAUUAGCUAGUUGGUGGGGUAAAGGCUUACCAAGGCGACGAUCCGUAGCUGGUCUGAGAGGACGACCAGCCACACUGGGACUGAGACACGGCCCAGACUCCUACGGGAGGCAGCAGUGGGGAAUUUUGGACAAUGGGGGCAACCCUGAUCCAGCCAUGCCGCGUGCGGGAAGAAGGCCUUCGGGUUGUAAACCGCUUUUGUUCGGGAAGAAAUCCUCUGGGCUAAUACCCCGGGGGGAUGACGGUACCGGAAGAAUAAGCACCGGCUAACUACGUG
Molecule: ribosomal RNA, 484 nt
Filed under: uncultured bacterium
Lineage: Bacteria
Description: partial 16S ribosomal RNA
Rfam family: Bacterial small subunit ribosomal RNA
Source: RNAcentral